This 233-nucleotide ribosomal RNA is filed under the name Marteilia octospora. RNAcentral describes it as "partial 18S ribosomal RNA". It matches the Rfam family "Eukaryotic small subunit ribosomal RNA", at positions 1 to 217 of the family's 1831-position model. Lineage: Eukaryota; Endomyxa; Ascetosporea; Paramyxida; Marteiliidae. The record is from RNAcentral.
UUGCCUAGAAUUGUGGUCGAUCCCGCCACCCCUCUGAACUAGCGUUCGAGACUAAGCCAUGCAAGUGUAAGCUCAAGACCUCUCGUAGGUCGAAGCCGCAGACGGCUCCGUACAAGGCAGUUAAUCUACGGUCCAGCGAAUAAUCUACGGACAUCUCUGGUAAGCUAGAGCCAAUACGUGUUACCAAUUCUCCGUUAGUCCUUCGGGGCGAGCGGGGUGCAGUUAUCGGAACG